UAAUUUAGAUGGCCUUUGCUAGUUUUCUAGCGAAUGGUUCAUUCUUUUUUACUGUGAACUGUUUUAAUUUUUCAGCGUCUGAGGAAUGUCUUUUAGCCAUAGGGAUAGGCUACUAGAAUGUUAACCGAGCUGAAAGUCAGGCUUAGGCCUGGUAUCCUAUUAAUUAUUUACCAAAAGAAUUCAGUAUUAUAAUUGUAACAUAAGCGUAAAAAACUUAUAAAACAACUUUUAACAACGGAUCUCUUGGUUCUCGCAUCGAUGAAGAACGUAGCAAAGUGCGAUAACUAGUGUGAAUUGCAUAUUCAGUGAAUCAUCGAGUCUUUGAACGCAACUUGCGCUCAAUGGUAUUCCAUUGAGCACGCCUGUUUCAGUAUCAAAAACACCCCACAUUCAUAAUUUUGUUGUGAAUGGAAUUGAGAGUUUCGGCUUUAUUGCUGAAUUCUUUAAAAUUAUUAGGCCUGAACUAUUGUUCUUUCUGCCUGAACAUUUUUUUAAUAUAAAGGAAUGCUCUAGUAAAAAGACUAUCUCUGGGGCCUCCCAAAUAAAUCAUUCUUAAAUUUGAUCUGAAAUCAGGCGGGAUUACCCGCUGAACUUAAGCAUAUCA
Molecule: ribosomal RNA, 604 nt
Filed under: Mucor hiemalis
Lineage: Eukaryota; Fungi; Mucoromycota; Mucoromycetes; Mucorales; Mucoraceae
Description: eukaryotic LSU rRNA
Rfam family: 5.8S ribosomal RNA (bases 224-376)
Source: RNAcentral